This 253-nucleotide ribosomal RNA is filed under the name uncultured bacterium. RNAcentral's name for it is "partial 16S ribosomal RNA". It matches the Rfam family "Bacterial small subunit ribosomal RNA", at positions 524 to 776 of the family's 1533-position model. The record is from RNAcentral.
UACGGGGGGGGCAAGCGUUGUUCGGAAUUACUGGGCGUAAAGCGCGCGUAGGCGGCUCUUCAAGUCGAGUGUGAAAGCUCCAGGCUUAACCUGGGAAUUGCGCUUGAUACUGUUGAGCUAGAGGGUGGUAGAGGCGAGUGGAAUUCCCGGUGUAGCGGUGAAAUGCGCAGAUAUCGGGAGGAACACCAGUAGCGAAGGCGGCUCGCUGGGCCAUUCCUGACGCUGAGACGCGAAAGCUAGGGGAGCGAACAGG